CCUACGGGAGGCAGCAGUGGGGAAUUUUGGACAAUGGGGGGCAACCCUGAUCCAGCAAUGCCGCGUGAGUGAAGAAGGCCUUCGGGUUGUAAAGCUCUUUUGUCAGGGAAGAAACGGUGAGAGCUAAUAUCUCUUGCUAAUGACGGUACCUGAAGAAUAAGCACCGGCUAACUACGUGCCAGCAGCCGCGGUAAUACGUAGGGUGCAAGCGUUAAUCGGAAUUACUGGGCGUAAAGCGUGCGCAGGCGGUUAUACAAGACAGAUGUGAAAUCCCCGGGCUCAACCUGGGAAUUGCAUUUGUGACUGUAUGGCUAGAGUGUGUCAGAGGGGGGUAGAAUUCCACGUGUAGCAGUGAAAUGCGUAGAUAUGUGGAGGAAUACCGAUGGCGAAGGCAGCCCCCUGGGAUAACACUGACGCUCAUGCACGAAAGCGUGGGGAGCAAACAGGAUUAGAUACCCUGGUAGUCCACGCCCUAAACGAUGUCUACUAGUUGUCGGGUCUUAAUUGACUUGGUAACGCAGCUAACGCGUGAAGUAGACCGCCUGGGGAGUACGGUCGCAAGAUUAAAACUCAAAAUGAAUUGACGGCUGAGACGNGCGAGACGACGACGAGGGAGGAGG
This 620-nucleotide ribosomal RNA is filed under the name uncultured bacterium. RNAcentral describes it as "bacterial SSU rRNA". It matches the Rfam family "Bacterial small subunit ribosomal RNA", at positions 338 to 948 of the family's 1533-position model. The record is from RNAcentral.